GAUGAAGAACGUAGUGAAAUGCGAUAAGUAAUGUGAAUUGCAGAAUUCCGUGAAUCAUCGAAUCUUUGAACGCAUAUUGCGCCCUCUGGCAUUCCGGGGGGCAUGCCUGUCCGAGCGUCAUUGCUGCCCUCAAGCACGGCUUGUGUGUUGGGCCUCCGUCCUCCUCCCGGGGGACGGGCCCGAAAGGCAGCGGCGGCACCGCGUCCGGUCCUCGAGCGUAUGGGGCUUCGUCACCCGCUCUUGUAGGCCCGGCCGGCGCUUGCCGACACAUCAAUCUUUUUUCCAGGUUGACCUCGGAUCAGGUAGGGAUACCCGCUGAACUUAAGCAUAUCAAUAAGCGGAGGA
Molecule: unclassified non-coding RNA, 345 nt
Filed under: soil metagenome
Description: partial contains 5.8S ribosomal RNA, internal transcribed spacer 2, and large subunit ribosomal RNA
Rfam family: 5.8S ribosomal RNA (bases 1-120)
Source: RNAcentral